This 205-nucleotide ribosomal RNA is filed under the name uncultured bacterium. Its description in RNAcentral is "partial 16S ribosomal RNA". It matches the Rfam family "Bacterial small subunit ribosomal RNA", at positions 568 to 774 of the family's 1533-position model. The record is from RNAcentral.
CAUGUAGGCGGCUUAAUAAGUCGAGCGUGAAAAUGCGGGGCUCAACCCCGUAUGGCGCUGGAAACUGUUAGGCUUGAGUGCAGGAGAGGAAAGGGGAAUUCCCAGUGUAGCGGUGAAAUGCGUAGAUAUUGGGAGGAACACCAGUGGCGAAGGCGCCUUUCUGGACUGUGUCUGACGCUGAGAUGCGAAGGCAGGGUAGCGAACG